GGAAAUGGAGCACACUGGUAGAGCGCUCACCUAGCACGUGUGAGGCCCUGGGUUCGAUUCUCAGCACCA
This 69-nucleotide transfer RNA is filed under the name Marmota monax (woodchuck). It matches the Rfam family "tRNA". From Rfam's summary of the family: Transfer RNA (tRNA) molecules are approximately 80 nucleotides in length. Their secondary structure includes four short double-helical elements and three loops (D, anti-codon, and T loops). The record is from Rfam by way of RNAcentral. Lineage: Eukaryota; Metazoa; Chordata; Mammalia; Rodentia; Sciuridae.